Molecule: ribosomal RNA, 468 nt
Filed under: uncultured bacterium
Lineage: Bacteria
Description: partial 16S ribosomal RNA
Rfam family: Bacterial small subunit ribosomal RNA
Source: RNAcentral
GACGAACGCUGGCGGCGUGCUUAACACAUGCAAGUCGAACGGAAAGGCCCUGCUUUUGUGGGGUGCUCGAGUGGCGAACGGGUGAGUAACACAUGAGUAACCUGCCCUUGACUUUGGGAUAACUUCAGGAAACUGGGGCUAAUACCGGAUAGGAGCUCCUGCUGCAUGGUGGGGGUUGGAAAGUUUCGGCGGUUGGGGAUGGACUCGCGGCUUAUCAGCUUGUUGGUGGGGUAGUGGCUUACCAAGGUUUUGACGGGUAGCCGGCCUGAGAGGGUGACCGGCCACAUUGGGACUGAGAUACGGCCCAGACUCCUACGGGAGGCAGCAGUGGGGAAUAUUGCACAAUGGGCGGAAGCCUGAUGCAGCAACGCCGCGUGCGGGAUGACGGCCUUCGGGUUGUAAACCGCUUUCGCCUGUGACGAAGCGUGAGUGACGGUAAUGGGUAAAGAAGCACCGGCUAACUACGUG